AUUGCCUCAGUAACGGCGAGUGAAGCGGCAACAGCUCAAAUUUGAAAUCUGGUCGCCUGUGCGGCCCGAGUUGUAAUUUGAAGAGGAUGCUUUUGACAAUGUGCCUUCCGAGUUCCCUGGAAUGGGACGCCAUAGAGGGUGAGAGCCCCGUAUGGUAGGUUACUGCGUCUCUGUAAAGCUCCUUCGACGAGUCGAGUAGUUUGGGAAUGCUGCUCAAAAUGGGAGGUAAACCCCUUCUAAAGCUAAAUAUUGGCCAGAGACCGAUAGCGCACAAGUAGAGUGAUCGAAAGAUGAAAAGCACUUUGAAAAGAGAGUUAAACAGCACGUGAAAUUGUUGAAAGGGAAGCGUUUGCGACCAGACUUGUGCUCGUCGAAUCAGCCGUCGCUCGUCGGCGGUGCAUUUCGGCGGGCUCAGGCCAGCAUCAGUUCGCUGUAGGGGGAGAAAGGCGGAAGGAAUGUGGCUCUUCGGAGUGUUAUAGCCUACCGUAUAAUACCCCUCGGUGGACUGAGGACCGCGCAUCUGCAAGGAUGCU
This 533-nucleotide ribosomal RNA is filed under the name Parascedosporium tectonae. RNAcentral describes it as "eukaryotic LSU rRNA". It matches the Rfam family "Eukaryotic large subunit ribosomal RNA", at positions 74 to 627 of the family's 3401-position model. The record is from RNAcentral. Lineage: Eukaryota; Fungi; Ascomycota; Sordariomycetes; Microascales; Microascaceae.